This 231-nucleotide long non-coding RNA is filed under the name Lathyrus oleraceus (garden pea). RNAcentral describes it as "Pisum sativum (pea) long non-coding RNA (PSAT_LNC035620)". The record is from RNAcentral. Lineage: Eukaryota; Viridiplantae; Streptophyta; Magnoliopsida; Fabales; Fabaceae.
AGAAAAAGAAAAAAAAGAAAAAGAAAAAUAGAAAAAGAAAAUAGAAAAGAAAAAAAUGAAUAAAAAAAUAGAAGGAUGUCAAUAAAUACAUACUCCUUCUGAAAAAGAAAAAAAGGAAUAAAAAGAGAAAGAAGAAGAGAAAAUAGUUGCUAUAGAGUUGUUGAAGUGAAUGAAAUCUUUUGUAAAUUCAACUCCCGCAGUUUCUUUCAAGUCUAUUUUGUCUAUUUGAAU